RNAcentral lists this long non-coding RNA (977 nucleotides) under Malus domestica (apple). RNAcentral describes it as "long non-coding RNA (MDOM_LNC014333)". Lineage: Eukaryota; Viridiplantae; Streptophyta; Magnoliopsida; Rosales; Rosaceae. The record is from RNAcentral.
UAAUACGUUGAUGGAUCGUAGCCCCCUAGCCUCGCUUGUCCUCGUACGUCCUCAAGAUAAGUCUCCCCUAUAUGUGAAACAACUAAUAAUAAUUAGUUAAUUAACACAUACACUAAAAGCUAGGAAAAACCCCUCAUAGUUUGCUCAAACGGAAGGUUUGAAUAUAAGAAAACAUUCUACUCGACGUCACGGACCUGUAUGCGUCAACCACUUGCCAGCCGGAGGCCGGACGCUUCCUCACGAGGCGCUUAGCCCAUGACCACAUGCACAAGCAUGCGCCUAGCAGAGACUGACAGAAGCCAGAAAUAUUCCGUCAGACUUGACAGAAUAUUCCGUUAAACAGUUAACAAAACUUAACGGCAUUACCUAACGCCGUUAGUAUAUUCCAUCAACUUUGACGGAAUAUUCUUCGUCUUCUCUGGUGAGUCUCGCCGUCCGCCGUCGCCAUCUGGUUUGCCGGUUUCUGAGAAAAAAUUCAAAACCUCAUAACUUGCUCAUUUCUUAACCAUUUUCAACGAUCUUUAUAUGGAAAUGAAGCUAUUGAGGAGAAGAACAAGAUUGUACUUUUCAAAAGUCCAAAAAAGUGGAUGGGAAUGGGCUGAAAAAGCUUCGAAAGGUUCAGCCUAUUUUUCUACUCCUCGAAAACGUGUGUUUCGACGUUAGUUCUUCUUCAAACCUAGACUAAUGGCCUCGAGUAGUUGACUAGGUGCUUCCACAACCUUCAAAAACUUGUAACUCGAUCGGGAUCACGUCGGAGCAAACUCAUCCGAGUUAGAGCUUCUGAGUUGACGAGUCAAAACUCACCCAUUUGAGAAUCAAUUUGUAUGGUUGGGUUUGUGGGUUCGAAAGGAACACAUGAUGGGGUUUUUAAGUUCAAUCUGUGAGUGUUUGAUGAAGGUCCUUGUAGUUGCAAAGAAGAGAGUGACGGGUGAAGAGAGAGAAAUGGAAAAGAUGAGAGAGAAAGAGAAAGGUUUUCU